UACGUAGGGGGCAAGCUUUGUCCGGAUUUAUUGGGCGUAAAGCGCGUGUAGGCGGCCAUUCAGGUCCGUUGUGAAAACUCGAGGCUUAACCUCGAGACGUCGAUGGAAACCGUAUGGCUAGAGUCCGGAAGAGGAGAGUGGAAUUCCUGGUGUAGCGGUGAAAUGCGCAGAUAUCAGGAAGAACACCCGUGGCGAAGGCGGCUCUCUGGGACGGUACUGACGCUGAGACGCGAAAGCGUGGGGAGCGAACAGG
Molecule: ribosomal RNA, 253 nt
Filed under: uncultured bacterium
Lineage: Bacteria
Description: partial 16S ribosomal RNA
Rfam family: Bacterial small subunit ribosomal RNA
Source: RNAcentral